AUUGAACGCUGGCGGAAUGCUUUACACAUGCAAGUCGAACGGCAGCACGGACUUCGGUCUGGUGGCGAGUGGCGGACGGGUGAGUAAUGUAUCGGAACGUGCCCAGUCGUGGGGGAUAACGUAGUGAAAAUUACGCUAAUACCGCAUACGAUCUAUGGAUGAAAGCGGGGGAUCGCAAGACCUCGCGCGAUUGGAGCGGCCGAUAUCAGAUUAGGUAGUUGGUGGGGUAAAGGCCCACCAAGCCAACGAUCUGUAGCUGGUCUGAGAGGACGACCAGCCACACGGGAACUGAGACACGGUCCAGACUCCUACGGGAGGCAGCAGUGGGGAAUUUUGGACAAUGGGCGAAAGCCUGAUCCAGCCAUUCCGCGUGCAGGAUGAAGGCCCUCGGGUUGUAAACUGCUUUUGUACAGAACGAAAAGGUUUCUACUAAUACUAGGAGCUCAUGACGGUACUGUAAGAAUAAGCACCGGCUAACUACGUGCCAGCCGCCGCGGUAA
Molecule: ribosomal RNA, 500 nt
Filed under: uncultured bacterium
Lineage: Bacteria
Description: partial 16S ribosomal RNA
Rfam family: Bacterial small subunit ribosomal RNA
Source: RNAcentral